Magallana angulata is the source of this 3514-nucleotide long non-coding RNA. RefSeq lists it as uncharacterized. The transcript has 6 exons. The record is from RefSeq and is a predicted model, not a curated record. Lineage: Eukaryota; Metazoa; Mollusca; Bivalvia; Ostreida; Ostreidae.
ACCGUGGCCGCUAACUGCCAGAAGCAUAUAGGUUCUAGAGGUCGUGAGUUCAAAGCCCCGACCCGGCCGAGAUAAGGUUCCAGUAUAGUGAAUUUUACUGUGCUGUAUAUGAAUUUAUUUUUAUAUCAGCAAUUCAAGUGUAUUUUCAAGAAGGUUAUAUAGGAAAUUGCAUACUCUAGUAUUUUGCAGAAAUGCCUGGUAAGGUACCCUAAUUUUUUGCAAGAAAGCUUGUCAAAGUAGUAGUAAAUCAUUAACAAAUUCCUGGAAAAAGUUAUCUAAAAUUGAGGAACGUGUCGUCUGACCUAAACGGAAGGAAGCUUUCAGCAGAAAAUUUUGAGAGAGAGUUGAGCCUACUUUUACAGGAUGAUUGUUUGGUAUUGAUUCUGAAAUGUGCAGAUGCUGGUGUAUGCCGCAACUGUCACAACAAGGUAAAAGGUACAUUUGAUUUCAUUCAGCAAGUGCAGUAUUCAUGCAUGUCGUUUUUAAAUGAACCUUUUCAUGUAAAAAGAACGAUGCCUUCCCCUCUUACACCGAAAAGUAUGCAGGGGUGUAAAUCUGUGAACCCUACUACCGUCAGUACCGACACAGUACAUGUAGUUCAACCAAAGUCUAGAAAACGACUAAAAUUUACGUUCGAAAGCUCAACAGUGAAAUGUCAAAAUACAACUCCAUCUCACGAUAUAACUACAUUCUAUGCAUACAGUGUCAUUCGAGCAUGGCUAUGCUGCUGUGAAUCCAGAUAUAAAAAUGGAAAGUGUUGACCAUGCAUUUCAACUGGUAAAAUCUACAUGGGAAAGUCUUACAAGUGACAUAGAAAAUGAAGUUCCAUCAGUUCUUGGAAAUUCUUCUGCCAAUUUUUUUCAUGGGUUAAGAAAUCAAUCCAGAUCGCUGAUGUCAAGAACAACAAUGCUUGCUUCGGUAUUAUUUAAGUACAGAGAAGCUAACUCUUUAGUGGAAAACGCAGACCUCCUUUUUCAAGGUAUUAUAUCAGAGAUGAAAAACAGGUGAGUAAUUUUCCCUCAGAAUUAAACCUUCUGAGCAACAUUUAUAAUUUUAUCAAAGAUUUAGUGUAAAUAUUAAAUAUUAUUGAGCAUAUAGAUAUAGUAUUAUUGCACAUGCUAUUAUUUUCAGACUAUGUAUUGAAUCAAAUUACUUAAAAUUGAAUGAUGUAUAUACAUUUUUUUUGAUUGAUGGUCCCUUCUUCCCAGUUAUAAGAAUCUUGAAUCCUGGCAACGUUUAUUUUUAGGAUGCCACAUUUAUUAGAGGUUAUGUGUUGUGUAGCUGUUCCUGAGAAUAGAAAGUUAUCACCAUCGAUAAUUCCAGUUCUUGCGGCAUGCUAUAGUAUUUUGAUGAAACCUAAGUAUUCCAACUUAUCAGCUUUCCGCAGACUUGCCAGUACAAUUGCAGUUGAAGGGGACUGAAUGAUAGAUUGAUACAAUUUUGAGUGCAUGUUGACUUAUCACAGGAUGGAUCUACCUAUUAAAAUGCCAAAAUAAGAAGACUUUGGGCGAAACUAGAUUCAAUCACUUAGGAAUCAUGUUGUCAUCACAGAGAAGAUUGAACUUUUAAGAAUCUAUUGGUUGUGCAUCGCAGAAUCCAAUCCACUGUUGAAGGUGACAGGUGAUAACCUAGAUAUAUAUAUUAAGAGAUCAAACCUGACAUCAGACAGCAGGAAUCUGGAUCUUCAUCUAUUUGCCUAAAAUAUCAUUUUUAGUCGAGUUGCCACAGUUGACAUGAAUAAUGAAAUACUAAUGUGUCCCAAUUAUCUGCAGAUGAUGUUCUCCUUAGAGCAAGUGGCCCAGAAAGACAUUAAGUUCAUGGAUGUAUGUUGUGUGUUACUCUGCCGAAUAUUAUGUCAAUUGCCAUAUUUUCAGAAGUUUGGGAAGAUUUUGCCAAAACAUAUUCUACAUGGAUUUUUACAGAAAAUGGCUUGUGCUUCAAAAGUUAUGCCAUUGCCCAUCCAGUUUAAAAAUGAAGCUGAGCACGAAGAUUGCUUAGCAAUUAUGGAUAAAUUUGAAGACCAGAAUACAACAAUGUACCAAACUGCCUUCGGUAAUUUGGAGAUUCUUAGAAAAUUCAAAGUGGUUUUGGUGGGAUACCCGUUAACAAGAACAAGAUUGCAAGAGGCAAAAAACCUGCGGACCGUCUCUAUAACACCUGAAAGAAGAUUUGAACCCAAUUGUAAUCCAGAUGUGGCAUAUCAAACAAGACUUUUUAGAGAUAUGCUUCAAAUCCUUAUACAAGGGUGAGUAUUUUCCUGGAACACUCAGCUUCUUCAAAAUGCACUUACAUCGGACAAAUGUGAAUGUACAGGUGAAAGGGAGAUUCCAACCUCACUUUGAUCUUCUUAUGACUGUUGGGGGAGGGGGGGCUGGUUAAACAGGUUAUGGAAUUUUUCCAAAUGGAGAAUAAGUACAGCCAACCCAACCACAAGAACUUUGAAGAUAUUGACAUCAAAUCAUCUGAAGAAAAGAAAACCCUUAUUACUGGCUGCUGUGAAUGAUUUUAUGAAGUAUUUUGGAUACUGCAAUGCAGAUACAGCUGAAGGUCUUCCUCAACCGCUAAAGGGAACAUUGAUAUAUCAUCUGCAAAAAACAGGGGAUGAAAAUCAGUGGAUUUUAGUGCCAUACCAUGAAAAACCACAAGAUGAUGAAGUCUUUAAUUAUUCAAUGCAACCCUGUCAUUGUUAUUUGCAUAUAUUGGAGCUGCAUGAUACUGCAAAAGAAGGUGAUCUAAAUUGAACACUUCUCAACUGUAAAUAUUCAAUUCCAUUUUUCUAUUCUCAUUCAAGAUUGAGCAAAUAUCUGGUUGAGAAUGUGGACUAUCUAUUGAAAACAUAAAUUACUGUCUCCUUUACAACGCAUUCGUGUCUUGGAAGGUUCCUAUGUCAACAUUUGGGGCGGUCAUGGCAAUAAUGUUGAAUGUGACUUAGUACAGGAGCACAGGGUAUGUAAUCAAAAAGCUCUAAUCAAAGCAUUGGGAGCAAACAAAAGUGAGAAAUUUAUUUCUCCUAUGACUGCAUCAGCUGAUGCAAUUGAUGAAGUCUGCACAAAAUUUGAUAGAAGUGUGAAUUUAAAGCCAAAAAGUGGCAGACAUUCUUUGUCAUUUUCUGAAGCAGACAGUAAAAAUGUUUAUAAACAACUGAGAGACUUAAGACCAUUUCAUCACUACCCAGGCAGAACCUGUAAGGGAUUCAAUAAUAUAAGCCCCGUUCCACCCCCUUGGGAAGAAAUGCCCAAACUCAAAGAGAGACUUAACCAAAUCAUAAAGAGACUUUCACGUGGAGGAUGUGUUUGAUCCUGAUAAUGAAGUUAUUGAUAAUCUGUCACCAUUAUGAAUCUGUUGUCUGUAAAUACUACAACAUUUCCCUGUUUGCUUCGUGCAUGGAUAUUUUAUAAUUUUAUGCAUUGCAUAAGUUACAUGUAUAGCAUUGCGUUAAAUGGAUUACAACAAUUUCCAUUUUCCCUUAAGGUCUAAGUUAGCUUCACCAAAUAAAGAAUGUUGUAACACUCUG